Non-coding RNA from Parelaphostrongylus tenuis, 73 nucleotides. The record is from the annotation of a GenBank genome assembly. Lineage: Eukaryota; Metazoa; Nematoda; Chromadorea; Rhabditida; Metastrongylidae.
GCUUCAGUGGUGUAGUGGUAGAGCACGCGUCCCCGCACAGGAUGGAACGCGGGUUCGACUCCUGUCUGAGGUC